Long non-coding RNA from Musa acuminata AAA Group (dessert banana), 1997 nucleotides. RefSeq lists it as uncharacterized. The record is from RefSeq and is a predicted model, not a curated record. Lineage: Eukaryota; Viridiplantae; Streptophyta; Magnoliopsida; Zingiberales; Musaceae. The transcript is spliced from 2 exons.
UGUCCGCCACCUAUAUGCUUUGAAUGGUGAGAGAUGACCUCAAAUGAUUCCGAGUUGUACUGUCCUUUGAAUCUAGUCAUCUUCUACUUACAUCUUCCACCCCUUGUCUGAGCUCUUCCGUCUCCAAUACUUCAAACAUCCAUCUUUUGGCCCAAUAUGGGAGAUCACCAUAACACCGUCGCCAUCAUAAUAUUGGCCAUUAAUGUUUGCAGCUAUCUUCUGAUAUGGCAUCCUUGCUUGGGUCUGUCACUCCAUGGAGAGCUGUCGGAAGAACAAGAUCACCACCUGGUCUUUCCGCGGGAGGCCGUCAAUGUAGCGCCGAGUCCCGCCACCACCACACCGUUGCCUCGUGGGCUCAGCCGCGAAAGGAUCUCGUGCAGACGUGGGAGGGAAGAAUGACUGCGCUGUGUGUCUAAAGGAGUUCGACGACGUCGUGACGAGCUACUGUUGAUCCUGAUCCUCCAUACUGUUGACUCGGUUGGCAAAGCAGGUGCUUCGAAAUAUCAUGUUUUUGUGGACCUUCCAUGCCGAGUCUCUCGGCUGCAUCCACCACAUCGUUCACCUUCUUCAGGGUGAGAUCUUCUUGAUGAGAUACUUGCAAUUAUUUCUUUGGGCUUUCCCCCUUUCUUCUACCUCAAAAAGAAAAUUGUUUUGUGGGUAGACGAUUCCUCUAUACCAACCCAAUAAUUAAUGGGGGCAGGUUCAUCACGACCGGCUUCACAGGGAUAUGAAACCCACGAAGCAGGGUAUAUCUAUCAUUGCUGACGUGUCAAUCCCUGAUAGGAUCGCAGUGUGGAGACCACGAAGGCCCUGGCCCACGCCAACAAUGAAAUCGAUGAGAACCUUAUCUUCGAGUUUUUAUAUGUCACGAGGAUGAAAGGCGGACGGUUCCCACGUCAAUGGUUUGGCGUCAACGUUACGGAGUUCUAGACAACGACACGAAGGCGGAAGGUUCCAUGUUGCAACAUUGAGGACAAGCUUUAAUCUUGGAUUCUCCUGUACUGCGUGUGACUCCUCUUCGUCCCCAUCUCGUCGCUAGUGGAGUUGCUUUCUAAGUUCAUUAAUGACCCCUCAUGUCAUCACCGAACUUGUUGAUUCUUCUCCUACCAUACAUAUAUAUAUAUAUAUAUAUAUAUAUAUAUAUAUAUGAUUAACAAGUUAGGAUUAGGAUUUUAUUAGUAGCUAACACCAGGACUUGCACCACUUCACAUCACAUCCGCAGGACCACUCAACGACCGAUGAGGUGGGAAUUAACCAAGGUGAAUUGGCAUAGGGUUUGAUUAAUUGGGGGGUGAUAUUAAAUACCAGGUGGGCUUGGCAAGUUAAUUGACACGCAGCAACACAUUCACAAGGUCAAGCAGCAAGUCUUCUCUCUUCUGGAGAUACUCGACAACUCUAUAAACAAACAUCAUCUCCGGGUCUCCCAGAAACCACCAGUCUGCUCUGAAUGGUGGCUGCCAAGGAAUGCCUGCUCUCUUCUUGAUCAUCUUGUGGAUCUUCUGCACGGUCAUAUUGCUUGCCAUCUCGUACUCCUGCCUCAGAUCCACAUGUGAUCCUCCGCCCGGCGACCGGACUGCAGCUGCUGCCACCAGUACCGCCGCCGCCACCUCCAGGCUGCGGAGCUCUAGCACCGCAGCCAACACCAGCAGGACAGCCGGCGGUGGCGCCGGUCGGGAUGUCCUCUCGGCGCUGCCGGUCUUCGCCUACUCGACGGCGCAGAAGAAGCUCAACUGCUCGGUGUGCCUGAUGGAUCUCGAGGAGGGGGAGAAGGGGCGGUUCCUCCCCAGAUGUCUGCAUGUUUUCCAUGUGGAUUGCAUAGAUGUUUGGCUGGCCACUCACUUGGACUGCCCAGUCUGCCGAGCUUCGGUUGAUCCUGAAGCUCCUGAACUUGCGGUCUGAGGUUUUGGCCUCCAAGAAUUCUGGUUUUCUCACUGUAAACGUCCUCAGAUUGCCAAUACUGUAAGAACAUCAUGCAGGAAUACAGAAGAUUUGAUCGA